Molecule: ribosomal RNA, 252 nt
Filed under: uncultured Bacteroidales bacterium
Lineage: Bacteria; Pseudomonadati; Bacteroidota; Bacteroidia; Bacteroidales
Description: partial 16S ribosomal RNA
Rfam family: Bacterial small subunit ribosomal RNA
Source: RNAcentral
UACGGGGGAUGCAAGCGUUAUCCGGAUUUAUUGGGUUUAAAGGGUGCGUAGGCGGACUGUUAAGUCAGCGGUAAAAUGUCGGUGCUCAACACCGGCCGGCCGUUGAAACUGGCAGCCUUGAGUGAGUGAGAAGUAAGCGGAAUGCGUGGUGUAGCGGUGAAAUGCAUAGAUAUCACGCAGAACGCCGAUUGCGAAGGCAGCGUACCGGCGCCCAACUGACGCUGAAGCACGAAGGCGUGGGUAUCGAACAGG